AACGAACGCUGGCGGCAGGCCUAACACAUGCAAGUCGAACGGUAGCACAGAGAGCUUGCUCUCGGGUGACGAGUGGCGGACGGGUGAGUAAUGUCUGGGAAACUGCCCGAUGGAGGGGGAUAACUACUGGAAACGGUAGCUAGUACCGCAUAACGUCGCAAGACCAAAGUGGGGGACCUUCGGGCCUCACACCAUCGGAUGUGCCCAGAUGGGAUUAGCUAGUAGGUGGGGUAAUGGCUCACCUAGGCGACGAUCCCUAGCUGGUCUGAGAGGAUGACCAGCCACACUGGAACUGAGACACGGUCCAGACUCCUACGGGAGGCAGCAGUGGGGAAUAUUGCACAAUGGGCGCAAGCCUGAUGCAGCCAUGCCGCGUGUAUGAAGAAGGCCUUCGGGUUGUAAAGUACUUUCAGCGGGGAGGAAGGCGGUGAAGUUAAUAACUUCACCGAUUGACGUUACCCGCAGAAGAAGCACCGGCUAACUCCGUGCCAGCCGCCGCCGUAA
Molecule: ribosomal RNA, 504 nt
Filed under: uncultured bacterium
Lineage: Bacteria
Description: partial 16S ribosomal RNA
Rfam family: Bacterial small subunit ribosomal RNA
Source: RNAcentral